This 253-nucleotide ribosomal RNA is filed under the name uncultured bacterium. RNAcentral's name for it is "partial 16S ribosomal RNA". It matches the Rfam family "Bacterial small subunit ribosomal RNA", at positions 524 to 776 of the family's 1533-position model. The record is from RNAcentral.
UACGUAGGGGGCAAGCGUUGUCCGGAAUCAUUGGGCGUAAAGCGCGUGUAGGCGGCUCGGUAAGUCCGCUCUGAAAGUCCGGGGCUCAACCCCGGGAGGCGGGUGGAUACUGUCGAGCUAGAGUCCGGAAGAGGCGAGUGGAAUUCCUGGUGUAGCGGUGAAAUGCGCAGAUAUCAGGAGGAACACCGAUGGCGAAGGCAGCCCCCUGGGUCAAGAUUGACGCUCAUGCACGAAAGCGUGGGGAGCAAACAGG